This 258-nucleotide ribosomal RNA is filed under the name uncultured bacterium. Its description in RNAcentral is "partial 16S ribosomal RNA". It matches the Rfam family "Bacterial small subunit ribosomal RNA", at positions 522 to 776 of the family's 1533-position model. The record is from RNAcentral.
GACAGGAGGGUGCAAACGUUGCUCGGAAUUACUGGGCGUAAAGCGCGUGUAGGUGGAACUGGUGUGAUCAGAGUGUGAAAUCCCUGGGCUCAACCCAGGAACUGGCACCUGAAACUACCAGCCUUGAGUGGUGGAGAGGGAAGUGGAAUUCCUAGGUGUAGAGGUGAAAUUCGUAGAUAUCAGGAGGAACACCAGUGGCGAAGGCGGCUUCCUGGACACAACUGACGCUGAGACGCGAAAGCGUGGGGAGCAAACAGG